AUUUGUAUUCAGUAUUCUCCUAAACAUUUUCAAGUGCGCGGUUUGGUGCAGACUGCAGUGACGUGAUUCUCCGCCCUGAAAUUCUAACCCGCUUCCCGACAGCAGACUGAACAAACCCUCGCUUUGAGCACUGAGCAUUUGUCGUUGAGAAAAUUUGCACUCACUCCUCCAGAGCAGGACAUCAUGACCUCCUUCUUUUCCUUUUGCAUGGUGCUGGGAACCAUGUGUGUGAGUCUCCUCUCGGCAGAUCAGAUCCCUGUAUCUGGCCAUCUGGGUUCUACAGCACUCCUGCCCUGUAAACUGAAGAGUGUAGGCACUGAAGCACCGUAUAUUAGAUGGUUCAUCAAUACUGAGACUGUGUUUGAGCGACAGGGUGAGAAGACAUAUCAGGGUAAGAGAUAUGAGGGCCGUGUGGAUGUUCCUGAGGAAAAUCUGCAUAAAGGGAACUGUUCCUUGGUGUUGCACAACCUGACACGUUCUGAUGCAGCUGUCUACACGAGCUACGAGGUAGUGAGACACACCAGGAGAUCUGACAGAUCAAAGAGAUCUUCCACACUAAACCUGAUCAGCAGUGUUAAACUCUCAGUCAGUGAAAAACUUGCAGAAAAAACUGAAAAGAAAUCAGCUAAAUAUCAAAUGUCUGCAGGUGAUUCAGGAAUGAAGUGUCCUCACCCACAGUUCAUGUUCCUGUUUCUCCUAUCAGUUAUUCUCUCUCUUCUUCUUAUUUGAAGAAACCUGUCACCUAGAGCUGUGCACAGGACUGUGUCUUUAUGCCUCAAGUAUUUUUUUGUGUUCUGCUUACCUGCUUGAACACCCACCUGCCUGUCCGGCUGUCUGUGAUACCUGUCAGGAGGCCAGAACCAAUGCAUAUAGACAUACAAAUUCAAAUUUAUAUUGGUCACAUAUCUAUACACAGUGUGACAUGCAGUGAAAUGCUUGAUCAAAUCCAGGUCCAUGUGAUAAAAUAGAAUCAGGAAGAACAAAAUUAGACUGUGUGUAUAGUGAUGAUGCAGAGAGAAGAGUCCAUUGUUCUUUAGAUGGCAUUGAGGUCUUUCACAGACUUCUUGGCCUUGGUCCAGCACUAGCUAAGUAUCCUGGAGUUUAGGCCGCUCUGUGUGGAUGGUACAAGUAAGAAAACUUUGAGGAAUUUAGUUCCUCUCAUUACUUAUAUUUCCCUUCGUGGACUGAGACUUUGACAGAGUGAUGGGGCUUAUGUACAUUGAUGAACCUCAGGGCUAUGUCAUCAGGAACUGAAUGUUCCUAGUAGGCCCACCCUUGGUGAACAGACCUGAAGGGAGGAGUCAGACAAGGAUCAGUUCUAAUGACUCCUUAAAAAGUACAGGAAAGACAGGAAAAAAAUGCACCCUGUCCACUGUUACAGGAAACGUGUAAGAAAUUGCACAGCUGCAAUUAUAGAAGAUUUUAUAUAAUCAACAACUUCUGAUCAAAUACAAUCGUAGUGAGGUGUAAAAGAUUUAAACAGCAGGACAUGGGUAAUAUUUGCUGUUUUUAAGCAGGUAGCUGAUUAAUAUAAAAUAAAAACAGUAUUUUAUAGACCAACUUUAAAACAUUCUAAUUGACAAGCAACACAACCAAAACAAAAGUAGAAACUUCUCAUGGUUUAUUGACUUUUGACUAAGAAGCUCAUAUAAAAUACACUCACUGAGCCUUGAUGUGGUACAGUAUGUGUUACACAGAAAAUCACACAGAUAUGUGCCAGCAGCUUCAGCCACCAUUUACAUUUCUGGCAUUGGUAGAUCUUCUUUUCCAGAGCAAUGUACAAAAGUGCUAGUUUUACUUAAACUAGCUAGAGCUAGUUUAAGUGCUUCAGGAAAAGGUAGGUCUUCAGACAAGUUCAUUCCACCACCUCGGUGCCAGAACAGAGAAGAGUCAAGCUGAAUACCUACCUUUUACCCUGAGAGAUGGUGGGACCAGUCGGGCAGUGCUAGUGGACCUGAGGGAGCGAGGUGCAGUGUGAGGAGUAAUAAGAUCUUUGAGGUAAGAUGGAGCUGGUCCAUUCUUGGCUUUGUAGAAAAGCAUCAGUGUUUUCAAUCUGAUGCAGCUACCAGAGGCCAAUGGAGGGAACACAGCAGUGGGGUGGUGUGGGAGAACUUAGGCAGGUUGAAAACAAGCUGUGCAGCUGCAUUUUGGAUCAUUUGCAUUGGACGAAUUGCAUUCAGAGGAAGACCUGCCAGUAAAGAGUUGCAGUAGUCCAGUCUCGAAAUAACCAGAGACUGAACAAGCACUUGAGUAGCCUGUGUGGAUAAAAAUGGUCAAAUCCUUCUGAUGUUGUACAGAAGAAACCGACAUGAGCGUGUCACAUUAGCAACAUGGGAGGAAAAGGACAGUUGAUUGUCCAUGGUUACCCCAAGGUUGCAAGUUUAGGGUGGUGAGUGAAGGGGACAGGUGAAGGGGAGAUCAUUGAGUUGUUCAGAGAUAAUGCAAGAUCCUGGGCUGGGGAUGAGUCACCUGGGAUGACCAGCAGUUCAGUUUUGCUGGGAUUGAGUUUCAGCUGAUGAGCUGUCAUCCAAGAUGAAAUGUCCAGAAGUUGUGGUGUCUGAGGGAGGGAAGGAGAAGAUAAGUUGGGUGUCAUCAGCAUAGCAGUGGUAUGAAAAGCCAUGUGAGGAUAUAACUUUGCCAAGAGAGUGAGUGUAGAGGGAGAAAAGGAGAGGACCUUGUGUGACACCAGUAUAGAGUCUACGUGGAGUAGAUGUCAAUCCCUUCCAUGUUACCUGAUAUGAGCGACCAUGUAGGAAGCAAACCAUUCCCAUUCUGUUCCACAAAUUCCAAGACUCUUGAGGGUGGACAAGAGAGUCUUGUGGUCAAAUGCUGCAGAAAGGUCGAGGAGGAUGAGGACUGAUGACAGCUUGUCUGAUCUAGCAGCAUGUAGUUUCUCAGUGGAAUGUGCUGCUUUGAAGCAGCAAAAUUGUAAAUGUCCAUGUUUUUUGACCAAUGACAUGAUUGAUAGUAGCAGAUGGGCUGAGCUUGAGUUUUUCUAUAAAUAUGAUAAACAUAAAAUGUAGUAGACUAUAGAGAAAUUUAAAGGAAAUAAAAUGUGUAUGUAGCUGGUCAAAAGGUGCUAUAUGUAAAUUAUAUAUACAUACAUACAUACAUGUACACUACCGCUGAAUGUUUUCUUCAAACUUUGCCUUCAUAAAAAAAACAGCUUUUGCAGCAAUUACACCCUGGGCAUUCUAACUGUCAAUUUUUCAAGAUAAUCUGAUGGGAUUUCACCCCAUGCUUCCUGGAGCAUGUCUCACAAGAUGGAUUGGCUGAUGGAGUCUUCCUCCUUAGCUGAAAUCAAGCUGAAAUAUGCGAGUGAUCCCAGACUUUUGAGAGGUAGUGUAUAUAUACAGCUCUGGAAAAAAAAAGAGACCACUGCAAAAUAAUGAGUUUCUUAUGGGUUUUUUUCUUCCAGGUUCAUGUAUUGGUGAGAUGAAGAGUUUUGUUUCAUUUUUUGUGAACUGCUGAUAAUAUUUCUCCUAAAUUCAAAAUAUAACUAUUGUUAUUUAGAGUGUAUAUUUAAAGGAAAUGACAACACAUCAAAAUAACCCAAGAUCAUGCAGUAUUAGCAGAGCUUUAAUAACUUGAAUAAAACAAAAUGCAAAUAAUUUGUAUUUGUGGAAUAAUCUAAAUCGGUCUGUGGAAUAACCCUGAUCUGCAUGCGUUUUGGCUCCAUGCUCUCCACCAAUUUUUCACAUUGCUGUUGGGUAACUUUAUACUACUGUACUCUUUUUGCAAACCAUCUUUGCUUGAUGGUUUGUGAUCAUCCAUCUUCCUCUUGAUGACAUUCCAGAGGUUCUCAAUAGGGUUCAGAUCUGGAGAUUGGGCUGGCCAUGACAGGGUCUUUAUCUGGUGAUCCUCCAUCCAGACUCUGAUUGCUCUGGCUGUAUGGCAUGGUGCAUUGUCCUGUUGGAAAGUCCAAUCCUCUGAAUUGGGGAACAUUGUCUUAGCAGAAGGAAGACAAUGUUCUUCUAGAACAACCCUGUACUUGGCUUGAUUCCAGCCUUGCUGAAGCACCCCCAAAUCAUUACUGACCCUUCUCCAUAUUUUACAGUUGGUGGAAGACACUGUGGGUUGUAGGCCUCUCCAGGUCUCCAUCUAACCAUAACACGACCGGGUGUCGGGCAAAGCUGAAAAUUGGACUCAUCAGAAAAGAUUACCUUACUCCAGUCUGUUACAGUCCAAUUCCUUUUGCAAACUUCAGCCUUGCUCUUCUUUGCUUUUUACUAAUGAAGUGCUUUUUUCUGGCUUUGUAUGACUUCAGCCCUGCGUGUAGAAGCCUGUUUCGAACUGUUCUUGCUAUGCUUUUCACCCCAGUCUGAGUUUGCCACUGUUGUUGAAGGUCACUUGAGGUCAGCCUACAGUUUGAUUGACAUUCGAAUAAGUUUGCAGUCAUCUCACUUGUUACUGGCCCGUUUCCGGCCUCUUCCAGGCUGUAGCUUUGUUGUUCCUAGUGUCUGUUGCUUGAUCUUGUUUUUGUGAACUGCCGUCUCUGAAAUAUUAAGGAUACAAGUAACUUGACGCUCACUGAAUCCUUGUGCCAGUAAAGCUAGGAUUGAGCCUUUUUUUGCUUCUUCACUCAAAACCUUUCUUUUCACUGUUUUGGGCAUUUUCAGUUGUUAUUUUUAAAUUUCCAAUUACCGUUGAAAGACUUCUAACACUUUUUUACCAUCCAACUGGUCACAUGGUCUGUGCUACCUGAUGGGAGCUCUGAGAAGAGACUGUGUCCAGGGUGGUGAACACAGUCAAUUGCCUUGGCUCUGGUCCUGCAUUGCUGGGCCUAGAUGUCUGUGAGGCAGAAGAGAGAAGUCCUGAUGGCCUUCUCUGCCAUCCUCACCACUCUGAACAGUCCUGGGCAGUGGAACCUCCAAACUAGGUGUUGAUGCUCCAGGUGAGAAGACUCUCAGUUUCAUCAAUGUGCUGCAGUUCUUCACCUGCUUUUUCCUGUAAUAAAUAAUCAUCUCCUUAGUCUUGGUGACAUUCAGGGUAAGAUGGUUAUUGUAGCACCAUGUGGACAGGACAUCCACUUUCCUCUAAACAGGCCUAGUUGAUGGUUGAUGCUAUCACCUGUGGAACUGUUGGACCAGUAUGAAAACAGUAACUGGUCUAGGCAAUUGGCAAUUCUGUAGGUACUACAGACAUUAGUGCUACAAGACGGUCAUUCAAGAAGGACGGAAAAAAGUCAGGGCAUCAGGAUGAAGUUAAGUGAAUUUUGAAUUCAUUUCAACAUUUGAAUGUUUUAACUUCUUAAGCCCGGCCCCAUUCUUGUCUUUGUUUACAAAGUUCUGCUACAAGGAGAGUUCUCAACUACUUAAUACACUUGUGCUGAAGCCGUGGCUUUUUUCAUUCACAUAUUUUCCAGGUUUUAUGUACACUUGUAAAAAUAAAUAAAUAAGUGGCUAUUACUACUUCAAGGUAACAGUUUAUGCGUUUGUGAAGACUUACUGAGUCAAUGUGUUAGAGUGAAACCUAGUGGCAUUAAGUGGUAUUGUUAACCACAAAGUGAUGUACUAUAUGCAACCUUUUUCAGAUUCAGUAAAAAAAAAUCCAAGUUUCAUCACCUGUCCAGAUGGUAUCUACCUGUGACAUUUUAGGAUUUUCCUUUCCUUUCAUAUAUAUCUAGCAUCCUGUUUUAUGCUAUCCAAACUCACAUUAUCUUCACAAUAUAUCUUAUUUUAUUUAUAUAAAUCAGUAAAAUAAAUACUGCUAAAUAUACUGUACCUGGAAUAAAACAGUUCACAUUUAUGGCAUUCAGCAGACACCAUUUUCCAGAUGGACAUUUUUAUGAACUGAGCAUUAUGGGCCCAACAGUGGCAGCUUGGACCUGGGAUUCAAACUCACAAUCUUAUGAACAGUAGCCCAACACCAUAACCAUUGUGCUACCACAUCCCCUGCUACCAUAAUAAGUAAAAUUUAUUUAAUUGGGUAAAAAAGUAAGUUAAAUUAGUUGGGUAAAUGCCUUUUAACUUUUAUUAUUAUAUAACCAUAAUAAUAAAAUUAAUCAUGCAAUUUUUCUUCAGUGACACACGUUAGUAUACAGCACUUUAAAUAUUUGCCUGUUACAGCAAACUUUCCAAGUCCCAUAGUGAUCACCAAUAAACAGAGUGCUUGUACAGUUGCUUUAAACUCUUUAUGGCACAUUUCUCGCAUUGCAGGUUACUGUGUAUGAAGCAGCACAGCAGAGACUGGUCAGAGUGCCCAUGCUGAACCCUGUACACCACCAAAUGGUCCGGCAAAGGAGGAUCAGACAGAAACAUUGUUGCAGACCAAAUACAACCUUCAUAGUGUAAAGGUUUCAGUCCCCUCCCACCCCUUGCCUGUUUACCGACCUUGCUCUCAUUUUGGAUUUGUUUGCCUUGUGUUCAGACAAUAAAUGCUACAUAUGGAUUCUACACCUACUGCCUCUAAUUCUACAUUACACAUAGCAACAUUCCCUAAUGGUCUCUCUCAACAAAAUAAUAAACCCUGACACACUGCAAAAAUUGUUCAGCAAUGUGACAUAGAAUUCUCCAAAUUCACAGAUCAUAAUCUGCAUGAGCAUAUGUGGGAUAUGCUGGACACUCAUUGGAGGCGACACCUCUUAACUUACAUGACUUAAAGGAUCUGCUAAUGUCUUGAUGCCAUAUACCACAGCACACCUUUUUAAGCCCAUGCCUUGAUGAGUCUGAGCUGUUUUGAUGUUAUGGAGGAUUGGUACAAAAUAGAAUCUAGAACCUUCAACAUUAACAGAACAAGUUGUAAAGUAGGUCAAUUAUAUGCUGGCAUGGUAUUGGAAAGACAAAGAUUGGCUUUGUACCCAUGUACCCAUGACCCUGUCACCAGGUCACUGUCCAUAGCAGUCACAUGUGUCUCCAGGUAGUCCACAUGGAAAUCCUCAGCAACAGUGAGCACUUCACUGAAGAGAAGAAAUAGUCAGAAGUUCUGGGAGCUCAGGAUUAUCAUGUUACUGUGAGAGAGGAACAAAAUUAGGUAUGCUUGUGAUCAUGUAAUGAUUAAAGACAAUGUACAUUAUGUGCAAAGUGCAGUGCCAAGACUAGCUUUGAUAGCACAACUAAAAGGGAGAGCCAGAAAGUGACAGACACGAGGGCUUCCUGGGACAUAAAGUGUGCAACCACUUCACAAUCCACUUAAAUAGAGUGGGCCAAAGGUGUGUCCAAAACACUAACUGGAAGGCUGUUUCAUAACUGAGGGGCUUUGUUAGAAAAAGCUCUGUCCCCUGCUAUAGCCUUUGCUACUUUUGUUGGUACUACAAAAAAGCUUGCACCUUUCUCUGCUGCAUUCUGGACUAACUGGAGCUUGUUUAUGAUCCCACUGGAACAUCCAGACAGUAAGGCAUUACAAUAAUCCAACCUAGAGGUAACAAAAGCAUGAACUAGUUUUUCUGCAUCAUGAAGUGACAUCAUAUUUCUUAUCUUAGCAAUAUUUCUGAGAUGAAAGAAGGCUACCCGAGUGAUAUUAUCUACAUGAGCUUCAAACAAAAGACCAGAAUCAAUAAUCACACCAAGAUCUUUUACUCAUGGACAUGAUGAAACAGAAAGACCAUCCAGAGUUACUCUGUAAUCAGAACCGGGUCCUAGUGCAAGCAUAGAGUUAAGCAGGAGGAAGUUGGUAAGCAUCAACUGUCUGAUAUUCUUUACACAUUCUUUAAAGCUGGAGCCAGCAUAACAAUCUAUGUCAUGUAAUCUAAUGACAUGUUCACAAAUAAUUGCACCAAGAGGUAGCACAUAUAAGGAGAAAAGCAGU
Long non-coding RNA from Hemibagrus wyckioides, 7746 nucleotides. RefSeq lists it as uncharacterized. The record is from RefSeq and is a predicted model, not a curated record. NCBI's taxonomy places the organism in Eukaryota, Metazoa, Chordata, Actinopteri, Siluriformes, Bagridae. The transcript is spliced from 5 exons.